GGGGGGGGAGGCGGGUGUAGACGCCUCGGGUUGUUUUCAUUCCUGUGUCCAGCUGCCCGUCUGUGUGGCCCCGCGGCCGGUCGUUAUCUCCUGUCCCUUCCCCAGGCUGACUGCGUGUAGGCCCGAGGGCCCCGCCGACCUUCCGAGUCCCGUUAACAGGCGCCUGCACGCCUUCUGCCCCCUCUUAUCCUGGCCGCGUCGGGACUCCGCGAUCCCGGAGCUGGGCGGGUUUCACCCAGAGCUCCCCUAGCAGGGGAGAAAAGACAUUUAAGUGUAGACAUAACUAUAAUAGUCCCAUCAUGUCUCUUUUAAAAAGCUCUCUUUUAGAAAGGCGCCGAGAAUCCACCCAUCCAAUUAAAUAUUUACUGAGUGCCUACUAUGUACUAGGCACUCUCCUAGGGGCUGGGGUAAAACAGCAAAACCAAACCCCACCGUCUUGGACGGUCCAUAAUGCUGUGGGGAGAAAGCAAAUAGGUGGGAGAGACACCAGCCUGUCUGCUGAUGGGAAUGAUCCAGGGGAUGAUGGAGUUGGAGUUGGAGUUGGAUAAUCGGAGGUGAAGGCUGGGUCUCAGGAGAACUUCUUGGUUCCCCCUCAUUCCACUGGUUUGAGUCUCCUGGGCCCGCUCCCAGCUGCAAGCCCCCUCGAGCGUUGGAAGGACAGAGGAGUGUGGUUCCCAUUUGUUUGCGCACUCAGCAGCAGAGGGUUUGGAAUGUUCCAGAAACAGAAAGGUGAGGCUGGCUACCUCCAGAUAUUUGCUCCUGCUGUUCCCUCUGCCUAGAAUGCUCUUCCCUUAGCCCUUUGGAAAGCUGGCUUAUUAUCGUUUGGGCCUCAGCCCAAGACCCCGAGAGGGGUGCCCGAGCUAACAGAAGCUCCUGCAAAGGCCCUCCCCGAAAGCCUCUUAGCUGCAUUCCUUACUCACCAGGAGCUGACGGUACCUUGAUUCUCAUUUGUUUGCACUCUGUCGCCUGUCUCUACACUGGACUAGAAGGUGCACAGGGUGGGGACUUUGACUCUGGGGUACCCCCCCCCCCCCAGCACCAGAGGAGGGCCCGGCACAUAGUCAGUAUU
Molecule: long non-coding RNA, 1069 nt
Organism: Prionailurus viverrinus (fishing cat)
Lineage: Eukaryota; Metazoa; Chordata; Mammalia; Carnivora; Felidae
Exons: 2
Source: RefSeq, a predicted model, not a curated record